This 406-nucleotide ribosomal RNA is filed under the name uncultured bacterium. RNAcentral's name for it is "bacterial SSU rRNA". It matches the Rfam family "Bacterial small subunit ribosomal RNA", at positions 99 to 518 of the family's 1533-position model. The record is from RNAcentral.
CGCAAGGGUGAGGAACGCGUGAGUAAUCUGCCCUCAAGUUGGGAACAGCUUCUGGAACGGAAAUUAAUACCGAAUGUGACCAUUGGAAGGCAUCUUCAGUGGUUAAGGCCGCAAGGUCGCUUGAGGAGGGGCUCGCGUCCCAUUAUGCUAGUUGGUGAGGUAACGGCCCACCAAGGCGAAGAUGGGUAGCUGGUCUGAGAGGACGAUCAGCCACACUGGGACUGAGAACUGCCCAGACUCCUACGGGAGGCUGCAGUCGAGAAUUUUGGGCAAUGGACGAAAGUCUGACCCAGCCAAUGCCGCGUGCGGGAUGAAGGUCUUCGGAUUGUAAACCGCUGUCAAGUGGGACGAAACAAAUGACGGUACCGCUGAAGGAAGUCACGGCUAACUACGUGCCAGCCGCAGC